GGGCGGGGUGCUGGGCCCCUAAACCCUUAAUCUCCAUGACUAUAUGAAUACCUACCAGGAAAUCCUCUCUCUUAGGCCACAACACUGUUUCAGCUUUCAGAUCAGACAGCCAGUGGCCACUACAUAAAUACAACUAAAUAGAUUCCUUUCUUUUAUUCCUGGGUAUUGUGUUAAAUUGGUACCCUGGGGUUGGGAGGCAUCAAAAGGUACUGCCUAUGCGAUGGUUAAACAUUAAAAGACCAUGUAAUAAAAUUGGUUUUACCCAGUUUAUAGCUAUGCUACUAAAAGUAGCCGUGCAAGAGGAAGCUGCUGUCCGAAGUUUAACAGGCCUGUAAACAAUUCAUAUAUUCCACCACAUAAAAAGGAACAAAAGCAACUGUGAGCCAGACCCCAAUUACUGCUUCUUGUUGGUUACUCUUAACCUGAGUGGCCCAAAUCCUGCAAGGUAUUUAGGUUUUUCACUUCUCUGUGAACUGGAAAUACUAUGGUCAGUUUAAAGGAAUGCAGUUCUUAUGGUUUAGGGUAAGAUUCUUUCUCAUAUGGAAAUAUUGUAACGAGAAAGUGGCAAACCCUCAUUGGCCAGUAUCUUACCCUGCUGAACAACAUGGACUGAAGAGUUUGAUUUGUGUUCAGAUGUCACUGACUUCAUGGGGGGGGGGGGAAAGCCUAAGGUGGAAAAGCAACCCACUGGAAUUAAAAUAGUCAAAAA
Long non-coding RNA from Gopherus flavomarginatus (Mexican gopher tortoise), 709 nucleotides. RefSeq lists it as uncharacterized. The transcript is spliced from 2 exons. The record is from RefSeq and is a predicted model, not a curated record. NCBI's taxonomy places the organism in Eukaryota, Metazoa, Chordata, Testudines, Testudinidae.